AUGAACGCUGACAGAAUGCUUAACACAUGCAAGUCUUUGGCGAAGCUGUGCUUGCACAGCCUAGCCAAGGCGGACGGGUGAGUAACGCGUAAGGAACUUGCCCUGCAGUCAGGGAUAACAGACGGAAACGACUGAUAAGACCUGGUAAAGUCAGGCGGACUCAUGUCCAGCCUGAUGAAAAGAGAUGCUGCAGGAGAGCCUUGCGUCCUAUUAGCUUGUUGGUGGGGUAACGGCCCACCAAGGCGAUGAUAGGUAGCCGGCCUGAGAGGGUGGACGGCCACAAGGGGACUGAGAUACGGCCCUUACUCCUACGGGAGGCAGCAGUGGGGAAUAUUGGACAAUGGGGGCAACCCUGAUCCAGCAAUUCUGUGUUCACGAUGAAGGUUUUCGGAUUGUAAAGUGCUUUCAGCAGGGAAGAAAAAAAUGACGGUACCUGCAGAAGAAGCGACGGCUAAAUACGUG
RNAcentral lists this ribosomal RNA (462 nucleotides) under uncultured bacterium. RNAcentral's name for it is "partial 16S ribosomal RNA". It matches the Rfam family "Bacterial small subunit ribosomal RNA", at positions 29 to 507 of the family's 1533-position model. The record is from RNAcentral.